UGGGGGAUAUUGCACAAUGGGCGAAAGCCUGAUGCAGCGACGCCGCGUGGGGGAUGAAGGCUUUCGGGUUGUAAACCUCUUUCGCUAUCGAACAAGGCCCGCUUAGGGUGGGUUGAGGGUAGGUGGAGAAGAAGCGCCGGCUAACUACGUGCCAGCAGCCGCGGUAAUACGUAGGGCGCGAGCGUUGUCCGGAAUUAUUGGGCGUAAAGGGCUUGUAGGCGGCUUGUUGCGCCUGCUGUGGAAACGCGGGGCUUAACUUCGCGCGUGCAGUGGGUACGGGCAGGCUUGAGUGUGGUAGGGGUGACUGGAAUUCCAGGUGUAGCGGUGGAAUGCGCAGAUAUCUGGAGGAACACCGAUGGCGAAGGCAGGUCACUGGGCCAUUACUGACGCUGAGGAGCGAAAGCAUGGGUAGCGAACAGG
Molecule: ribosomal RNA, 420 nt
Filed under: bacterium
Lineage: Bacteria
Description: partial 16S ribosomal RNA
Rfam family: Bacterial small subunit ribosomal RNA
Source: RNAcentral